UAGGGAAUAUUGCUCAAUGGGCGAAAGCCUGAAGCAGCAACGCCGCGUGUGCGAUGAAGGCCUUCGGGUCGUAAAGCACUUUUCUGAGAGAUGAGAAAGGACAGUAUCUCAGGAAUAAGUCUCGGCUAACUACGUGCCAGCAGCCGCGGUAAAAACGUAGGAGGCAAGCGUUAUCCGGAUUCACUGGGCGUAAAGCGCGUGCAGGCGGUGCGGUAAGUUGGGCGUGAAAUCUCCCGGCUCAACUGGGAGAGGUCGUCCAAUACUACCGUACUUGAGAGCAGAAGAGGAAAAUGGAAUUCCCGGUGUAGUGGUGAAAUGCGUAGAUAUCGGGAGGAACACCAGUGGCGAAGGCGAUUUUCUGGUCUGUUUCUGACGCUCAGACGCGACAGCUAGGGUAGUAAACGGGAUUAGAGACCCCGGUAAUCCUAGCCGUAAACGAUGUGAACUUGGCGUUGGUGGGUUAAACUCCAUCAGUGCCGUAGCAAACGCGAUAAGUUCACCG
RNAcentral lists this ribosomal RNA (502 nucleotides) under uncultured Chloroflexota bacterium. Its description in RNAcentral is "bacterial SSU rRNA". It matches the Rfam family "Bacterial small subunit ribosomal RNA", at positions 355 to 871 of the family's 1533-position model. Lineage: Bacteria; Bacillati; Chloroflexota. The record is from RNAcentral.